RNA transcript from Lycium ferocissimum, 3033 nucleotides. It is a transcript of the gene named DEAD-box ATP-dependent RNA helicase 41, with no coding region annotated. NCBI's taxonomy places the organism in Eukaryota, Viridiplantae, Streptophyta, Magnoliopsida, Solanales, Solanaceae. The transcript is spliced from 4 exons. The record is from RefSeq and is a predicted model, not a curated record.
GGAUAUAUAAUGAUAAUUCCUCAACUUAGCUCCAUUUUCAACCCGAAAGCCCAAACCAAGAUCCGACAACCCGAUAAAUACACACACACACAUUGUAAAAUCAAGAAAUUUGAUAAAAUUGAAUCUUUGAAGGAAAAGUUUCUGAGAUCUUUGAGGAUUUUUGUACUUUGAAGUGCAUGUACCAAUGGAAAGUUCUGUAGUUGCAGAAAAUGACACUAAUGCCCCAGAGGAUGAUGUGAAGGAGAGGUGUUGGGACCAAAGAGAAGCACUACCGGACGAGCCUCGAUGUGUUAUAUGUGGCCACUAUGGGGAGUACAUUUGUGAUGAGACUGAUGAUGAUAUUUGCAGCUUGGAAUGCAAAGGUAUAUUGUUGUCUCGACUUGCAAAAUCGAGGCAACCAACUGGUCGUCCAUGUCCUGUGAAGUUACCAGCAACUGAUGAGUGCUAUUAUGUUAGGGAUAAUGAUAAUAAAUCUGAAGUGAAACCACUAACAACUGAUCAGACUGAACUCAUGAGAAGGAAACUUGAUAUUCUUGUGCAGGGAGACAAAACUACACCGCCUCCGAUCUUGUCAUUUGCUUCUUGCAAGCUACCUCAGAAGCUUCUAGAUAAUAUCGAAGUUGCCGGUUAUGAAAUGCCAACUCCUGUCCAAAUGCAAGCAAUCCCUGCUGCUUUAGCACGGCAAAGCUUGCUUGUUUCGGCGGAGACUGGUUCUGGUAAAACCGGCUCUUUUCUAAUUCCUAUAGUUUCUCAAUGUGUAAAAGUUAAUGAAGAGCAUUUCCCGAACCAGCAGAUGCCAUUAGCUAUGGUCCUCACACCUACUAGAGAACUCUGCAUACAGGUAGAGGAUCAAGCUAAGGUGCUCGGGAAGGGUUUGCUCUUCAAAACGGCUUUGGUUGUAGGUGGUGACGCCAUGGCAGGACAGCUCCACCGCAUCCAACAGGGAGUAUCUUUAAUUGUGGGAACUCCUGGAAGGCUCAUUGACCUUUUAAUGAAGCACGAGAUUGAACUGGAUACUAUUUCAAUUCUUGUUCUUGACGAAGUAGAUUGCAUGCUCCAAAGAGGUUUCCGUGAGCAGGUGAUGCAAAUAUUUACGGCUUUGUCUCAACCUCAAGUGUUAAUGUUUUCCGCAACAAUUCCUAAAGAAGUAGAGAAGAUGGCAAGCACAAUGGCCAAAAAGGUCACUGUCAUCUCUGUUGGGAAGCCAAAUAAACCUAAUCAGGCUGUUAAGCAGUUAGCUAUUUGGGUAGACUCGAAGCGGAAGAAGCAAAAGCUUUUCGAUAUUUUGAUGAGCAAGCAGCAUUACAAGCCACCAGUUAUUGUAUUUGUGGGUUCUAGGCUCGGAGCAGAUCUCCUUUCUGAAGCAAUAACAGUAAGUACUGGGCUAAAAGCAUUAUCAAUUCACGGUGAGAAAUCCAUGAAGGAUAGGAGAGAAAUCAUAAGGUCAUUUCUAGUUGGAGAAAUUCCAGUUGUUGUGGCCACAGGGGUAUUGGGUCGAGGAAUCGAUCUGUUGACUGUGAGACAGGUAAUUGUGUUUGAUAUGCCAAAUUCAAUCAAGGAGUAUGUGCACCAGGUUGGAAGGGCAUCUAGAAUGGGGGAGGAAGGUACGGCAAUUGUCUUUGUGAAUGAAGAGAACAAGAAAUUGUUCCCCGAGUUGGUUGAAGCUCUUAAAACAUCUGGUGCUGCGAUUCCCCGAGAGCUUGCUAAUUCAAGGUAUUCUGUUAGCUCUUUCUCUGCUGGCAAAGGUCAGAAAAAACGAAAACAUGGUUUCUGAAGAUGUUGGUCUCCCUUCCCCCUCUGUUGCAUAAAGCUCCCCGUGCUAAGAAUUAAGAGUACUUAUUAGACCUGGUGGUCAAAAUUGUCUUGCUUGAACAUUAGCCUCCUUUUAUGUUCACAAAUUCUCUCAGGCAACUGGAUUCUGUCAGAGACACAGUAUCUAGGUCCAUAAGUAUUUAUACAUGUAUAUACUGUGUAGCGUGCAUAUUUUACACGUGAUGAUUUUUCUCGUGCUAAAAGAAGAUGUUUCUGAUUUGGAACUGGAGAACUGAAAACCUGCUGGGGCAUUUUGAUUAUUGAAUUGAUGGGCACAAAGGGUGUGCUUCUCAAAGCUGAAGCAGCCGCUGUUGCUUACUCAUCCUUGUGUUGCUUUCGUCAAUCUUCAAAGUCAAUAAGGAUAUAAAGUUUUGGCGAUGCUCGGUUGUAUCUGCGGUUGGACUGUAUAUCCUGUGCUAUCCAAGACUUUGCACGGUUGGCAUCAGAGAGUAUAGACGCUUUUGCAGAAUCCUGAUAGGACAAGACUGCUGCAGGUUUAAUAGUGCGGGUAAAUCAGGAGAUUGUAAAUGUCGAAGGCAGCUAUCUACUUGUCGGUUAGGAGCAAGCGGGGGAAAAGGAGGAGAUUUGGAGGCAACAGUUACUUGUUGAAAACUGUUGAUUUUGAGAUGCUAAUACUAGUUGUCAACUGUGCACAAAUGUUUAAAACACUCAAUUUUCCCUGGUUAAUAGGUAGACUUCAGGCGGAUAAAUGAGCACGUUACCAAUUGCUUUGAUGCUUGGAAGAGGCUUUUGAUUUGAUUCUUUAUAAGAGGAAGCAACAAUUAAUUAAGUCCAAAAAAUAGAGAAAAUGGAGGAGAACUUCAACAAAUUCUAUCACAUCUCAGUUGUACUGGUUUUGAAAUUUAACUAAACCUCUUAUAGCUUCUGUAUAAAUUAUUGCAAGCUUGUGGUUUAAUGGGGUUAAUAUCUUGCAAAACAUUAGAGAUCUUAAGUCUCAAGCUAGAUGCCAGAUCUUCCACAAAGCAUAAGUAAUAGAUUCGUUUGAACAUUAGCACAUCUAUUGCCUAUGAUUUGUGGAAGAAAUGCAUGAAAUUUGGCAUCUGGCUUGAGACUUAGGAUCUUUAAUGUUUUGCAAGGUAUCAAGCCCAUUUAGCCUGGAGCUUGCAGAAAUUUAUUCAGGAGCUAUAAGAGAUUUAGGUAAAUCGCAAAUCUAUUAUAAGGAGAUGUGAAAGGAUUUAUUGGAUCAUUUUCUCUUGAGGA